RNAcentral lists this long non-coding RNA (503 nucleotides) under Homo sapiens (human). RNAcentral describes it as "non-protein coding lnc-CDRT15-8:1". The record is from RNAcentral. Lineage: Eukaryota; Metazoa; Chordata; Mammalia; Primates; Hominidae.
CUGCCACCUUCCCUCACUUCUGGAAUAGCUUCAACCUGUGGCUCAACUUAGCUUUCCAAGGCAUCAUCAUCACAGCCUGCCUAUACAGUUGCUUUAAUUUAAGCAACAUUUAUUCAGUACCUAUUAUGUGUCAGACUCCAGCUAGGAAUACAAUGAUCAGGAAACCAUCUGGGGGAGGCUACGGGUAUAAAUAGCUAUAACGUGUGAGAUAUGACAUGACAGAAAGUAGAAGCUAUGAGGGGUACAGAGGAUGAAAUAGUGAAUUAGGAACAGUGGGGGUCAGUGAAAGUUAUUAGGGGAGUUAAACACUGGUUCAUGUGGAAGAACCAUUUCAUAGGCUUAAAAAAACAUAGUCAUUUAUAGGUUGAAACCUUAUCUUGGGAUUCCAGCUUUUCAAUCUGUAACAUUAUAUGUAUUAUUCAGGACUCUUUUGGGGGUUAAUGGCAGAAAAGUAACUCAAAUUGGUAUAAGCUAGAAAAUAAGAUAGUUGACUGGCAUCACAA